CCUACGGGGGACAGCAGUGAGGAAUAUUGGUCAAUGGACGAGAGUCUGAACCAGCCAAGUAGCGUGAAGGAUGACUGCCCUAUGGGUUGUAAACUUCUUUUAUAUGGGAAUAAAAUGUUCCACGUGUGGGAUUUUGUAUGUACCAUAUGAAUAAGGAUCGGCUAACUCCGUGCCAGCAGCCGCGGUAAUACGGAGGAUCCGAGCGUUAUCCGGAUUUAUUGGGUUUAAAGGGAGCGUAGGUGGAUUGUUAAGUCAGUUGUGAAAGUUUGCGGCUCAACCGUAAAAUUGCAGUUGAAACUGGCAGUCUUGAGGACAGUAGAGUUGGGCGGAAUUCGUGGUGUAGCGGUGAAAUGCUUAGAUAUCACGAAGAACUCCGAUUGCGAAGGCAGUUCACUGGACUGCAACUGACACUGAGGCUCGAAAGUGUGGGUAUCAAACAGGAUUAGAUACCCGAGUAGUC
RNAcentral lists this ribosomal RNA (460 nucleotides) under uncultured bacterium. RNAcentral's name for it is "partial 16S ribosomal RNA". It matches the Rfam family "Bacterial small subunit ribosomal RNA", at positions 338 to 795 of the family's 1533-position model. The record is from RNAcentral.